Molecule: ribosomal RNA, 678 nt
Filed under: uncultured crenarchaeote
Lineage: Archaea; Thermoproteati; Thermoproteota
Description: bacterial SSU rRNA
Rfam family: Archaeal small subunit ribosomal RNA
Source: RNAcentral
CCCUAUGGGGUGCAGCAGGCGCGAAACCUCCACAAUGCGCGAAAGCGUGAUGGGGUUACCCCGAGUGCCGUCCGUUGAGGAGGGCUUUUCCCCAGUGUAAGGAGCUGGGGGAAUAAAGGGGGGGCAAGACUGGUGUCAGCCGCCGCGGUAAUACCAGCCCCCUGAGCUAUAGGGACGAUUAUUUAGCCUAAAGCGUUCGUAGCCGGCUUUGCAAGUCUUUCGUUAAAUCUAACGACUCAAUCGUUAGGCCGCGGAAGAUACUGCUAGGCUUGAGGGCGGGAGAGGUCGAUGGUAUUUCCGGGGUAGGGGUGAAAUCCAAUAAUCCCGGGAGGACCACCAGUGGCGAAGGCGGUCGACCAGAACGCGCCUGACGGUGAUGGACGAAAGCUGGGGGAGCGAACCGGAUUAGACACCCGGGUAGUCCCAGCUGUAAACGAUGCGAGCUAGGUGUUGGGGUAGCUACGAGCUGCUCCAGUGCCGCAGAGAAGUCGUUAAGCUCGCCGCUUGGGGAGUACGGCCGCAAGGUUGAAACUUAAAGGAAUUGGCGGGGGAGCACCACAAGGGGUGAAGCCUGCGGUUUAAUUGGAGUCAACGCCGGGAAACUUACCAGAGCUGACAGCAGGGUGAAGGCCGGACUAAAGAUCUUGCCAGACAAGCUGAGAGGUGGUGCAUGGCCAA